RNAcentral lists this long non-coding RNA (214 nucleotides) under Medicago truncatula (barrel medic). Its description in RNAcentral is "long non-coding RNA (MTRU_LNC005098)". Lineage: Eukaryota; Viridiplantae; Streptophyta; Magnoliopsida; Fabales; Fabaceae. The record is from RNAcentral.
GAUAUCGUUAUUUCUAAGGGAUCGUUUAAACAUCGAUUUCCCAAACAUUUAAACGAUCACAAAGUCGAUUGGAUAGUUUAAUCGACGAUUUCCCAACCGAUUAAAUUACCCAAAAGCAUUAAGUCCUAGAUUAAAAGUGAUUAUCAAAUAUUAACAUCCAUGUCUAGAGUGAUAACUUAAGAUAGAUUGUUAUUCUAUUUCUAGAUUCAAAAGU